UCAGCGAGUAGCUGAAAACACAGGUGGAUCCAGAGCCUGGAAACUGAAAUGAGGCAACUUCAGAGUGGGAAGCAGGCGUGACGGGACUUGUUGGCGCUUGUGUGGUUUCCUACAGUUGUCUCCAUGCUGUGGCAAGGGAGCCUCAUGCUGCCGGGUUUCCUCCCAAUGAGGAGCCAGAGCUGGUGGGACAUCAUGCUGAGCUGGGGAGCCAUAAGGAGAGCUAGGAGCCACCCAGCCUGUCUUGCCACCGGAUGGAGGACCGUGGCUUUGCCCAAGUAUAUGUAGCCACAGUGAGUGACUCCUGGAUGCUGUGCAGGAUCCCAGCCCCAACCUGAAGCACACCACCCAGCAUGCAUAUUUAUGAUCCCAAUUAUCACAAAAAAAACCCACACAAAACUCACAGGUUGCUGUGUAAAUAACUGAUUUUUAAUCUGAAUGGCCCAGCUUACAUAUUUCACCCAGCCCUGCUCAGCAGAACAGCUGGUGUUUACUGAUUUCUCAUUGCUUUUCCAAGCAACGUGGAAAGAUGCUGUCUGCAGAGUCACAGCUGCCCCUGAGAUAAGGAGAGCUCAGGUUUGCCACUGCUCCUCCACAUCCCGACAAGCCUUGGCAGCAGGGUGUGCCCAGCAGCUCUUCUCUGCUGACACCUGGGGCUGAUUAAUGAUGCCCCAUCCACAAACAGCAUCCCCAGCUGCACAGUGAGCACAGGGCUCCAGCAGAGCUCACUGAGCCACAGUGUAUUCCAAUCAGGGAUGCAGGAGGGUCAGCUGGGGUUGGUUAAGGUUGGGGUUAGGGGGCAAGUGCAGGCCCUUGGGAGGGGAGAGAUGGCUCCUACCCACACCACUGAAGUGCAAACUUCCUUCCCAAGCAGCAGCGCUGCCCCCACCCAACUGCUGGACUCUGACAUAGUCAGAUGUUUUCUACCCCUUGACUGUCCCAUAAGGAUCUGAGACUGGCAGUGGGUGAAGGCUGUGCCUGGUACAGCUGGGGAUGGGAAGAUCUCUCCACCUGGCACAGGCAGUAAGGAUUUGCAGUACUGUGCAAUGAGGGAAUGGUGAAAGGUGUCCACUCAUAGCAGCUAUUACUGCUGGAUAAUAAUAUUACUGCAAGAAAGAGUAAUUUCCAAGUAAUCCAAAUAACUCUAGCUAUCAUUAUGCUUCUGUCCAUAUCUAUAUUUGCAGUUACAAAUGCUUCCUUCUUUUCCUAGUGCCUCUGGAGGCUAACAGCAGAGCUACGAUGAGCCAGGAAUUAUUCUUGUCAUGGUAUUUCCACUGCCCAAGAAUGAGCAUAUGUUAAAGAAAUCCAGUCCCUCUUUAUUCCAGGGUUUAAAUGGCCCCCUGAGGAACCAAACAGCCAACUUUGGCUUUACAUGGGCUUGCACUGUGGCUGGCAGUGCUGAUGCUGGCGGUACCUUCAGAAGCACUCACUGAAUGUGAGGAUGUGAGGAGACCUGAUCCACCCUGUCCCCUAAUUUUUCCUCUGUCUACCCAUAAUGACCUUCAUGCUGAUGAAGAAGGGCUGGGUGAUGGUGGCCAGUGCCUAUAGGAUGGACACUGACAGCCCAGCUCCUCCAUCACAGCUCUGAUCUGCCUCUAUGCCCUGCAGAACCACGUCCUGUGCAGUCACCGUGCUUUGCACACACAUGGCUUCUCCUCAGUGUGCCUAAAAGGCAUCCAGCUCCCAGCCCUGCAGCACAGGUUUGAUGGAUGUCAUGCCAGCACACCCAGAAGGGGCAGAGGAUGAUAACCCCCAGCCCUGCUGCUCCAGGACCUGAGCCAUCAGAUGCGGUCACCUCCUCUGGCAUAAAGACCCCAAAGCAUUUACUUCUCAUAGACACUUCUCUCCAUGCCAGGAGAAGUCUCCUCUGUGGCUGGAGGAAUGCUGGAUCCUUGCUCUCCCUUGGGCUCAGACACAGGAGAUGGUAAGCACCAUGUUUCACCGUGUUGUUCUGAUGUUUAAUUAGUACUAGCCACCUUGACCUCUCAUCCCACUGGGAAAACAAAACCCCAAGGCCAGUGCUGAGCACUAGAUGUGUGCACAGCUGGGCUGCAUGCAGCUGUGCAGAUCCUGGCCUCUGGGUGAGCACCUGAUGUGAGCCCAUGGAACGCACCAGAGGGAUUCCAUGCACUGCCAUCCCCAAAGCUUCACUGUAUUUCAUAUGGGACAGAGAUUUAUCUUUUCUGAGCAUAGGGCUGAGGUUCUCCAAUGGCAUCGCUGAAAUCAGCAUUUCCAAAGUGCAGUGAUGAAAUAAAUGUUCUGCGCUCAGCAUCUACAAGCAGUGGGCCAUGUAAGUCAGACGGGGCGCUUUGCAACCGGUCCCUUUGUGAACCUCCAGCGGCUGCCAGCGCCCGGAGCCCCGCUCAGCCUCCGGUGCGAGCUGCAAACACGGGGCUGUGUUGCUCCCUGGCGGUGAGCGGCUGCCUCGCUGCCUCCUGGCUGCCUUCCCCUCCCCGCCCCGGACACUGCUUUUUCUUUCCCUGCCUCCCGAUGUUGAAGGGAGGCUGUGCUUUGUGUCAGUGUGGGGCACAGACCCGCAAGGAGUAGACAGCACUGAAAACAGCCAGGUUAAAUAAAGAGCUACUAUUCCACUUAAAACACGCUCGGGUCAGAGGACCAUGUGGGGACAGGCAGUACCCUGGUACCAUCCCCAUCACAUGCAGCUGCACUCCUGCUCCAGCACCAGCUGCUGGGGCUUCAUCCUGCCCCACUAUGCCAGCAGUGCCAUAUGCUCAGUCCUGUGCCUGAGGAAUGUGGGCAGAGCCCUAAGUCCCUCAUCUGGUGGGCACAAGAAGCCAAAACGAUGCUGAUGGCAGGACCUCUGCUGAAUGCUGCUCCUGGACAGCACAUGGAUCAUGCAUGUCCCAUGCUGACACAUCCAUCACUCAGACAACGUGGCCUCCUUCACUCAGCCACCUGGCCCGGUACGUGGCACAGCCCGGCACGUCCACAAGUCGCCGUGGGGCUCUGGGGAUGUCGGCCAGCUUGGCACCAAUGAGGCUCUGCA
This is a non-coding RNA of Coturnix japonica (Japanese quail), 3004 nucleotides long. Lineage: Eukaryota; Metazoa; Chordata; Aves; Galliformes; Phasianidae. The record is from RefSeq and is a predicted model, not a curated record.